This 253-nucleotide ribosomal RNA is filed under the name uncultured bacterium. RNAcentral's name for it is "partial 16S ribosomal RNA". It matches the Rfam family "Bacterial small subunit ribosomal RNA", at positions 524 to 776 of the family's 1533-position model. The record is from RNAcentral.
GACGUAGGGCGCGAGCGUUGUCCGGAUUUAUUGGGCGUAAAGAGCUCGUAGGCGGCUUGUCGCGUCUGCUGUGAAAUUUCGGGGCUCAACCCCGAACUUGCAGUGGGUACGGGCAGACUAGAGUGUGGUAGGGGAGACUGGAAUUCCUGGUGUAGCGGUGAAAUGCGCAGAUAUCAGGAGGAACACCGAUGGCGAAGGCAGGUCUCUGGGCCACUACUGACGCUGAGAAGCGAAAGCAUGGGGAGCGAACAGG